AAGGCUUUAAGUUAAUUAAACUAAUAGCCUUCAAAGCUGUAAAUAAAGAAAUUCUUUAAGCCUUA
Molecule: transfer RNA, 65 nt
Filed under: Nigronia serricornis
Lineage: Eukaryota; Metazoa; Arthropoda; Insecta; Megaloptera; Corydalidae
Also listed under: 3 other names
Description: tRNA-Trp
Source: RNAcentral